RNAcentral lists this small nuclear RNA (99 nucleotides) under Sciurus vulgaris (Eurasian red squirrel). The record is from RNAcentral. Lineage: Eukaryota; Metazoa; Chordata; Mammalia; Rodentia; Sciuridae.
GUGCUUUGGCAGCACAUUUACUAAACUUGGAAGAUACAGAGAUUAGCAUGGCCCCUGAGCAAGGAUGACAUGCAAAUUAGUGAAGCAUCCAUAGUAAAA